UGCUGUCCCUGAUCGGCUUCGUGGUGAUCGGCCCGCUGCUGGCGGGCGGGGUCGUCCGGGUGAUCAGCGCGGUGCUGCUGCGGGUCUUCGG
RNAcentral lists this transfer RNA (91 nucleotides) under Streptomyces fumigatiscleroticus. RNAcentral's name for it is "tRNA-Ser". Lineage: Bacteria; Bacillati; Actinomycetota; Actinomycetes; Kitasatosporales; Streptomycetaceae. The record is from RNAcentral.